CCUGCGGAGGGAUCAUUACUGAGUUUACGCUCUACAACCCUUUGUGAACAUACCUAUAACUGUUGCUUCGGCGGGUAGGGUCUCCGCGACACUCCCGGCCUCCCGCCCCCGGGCGGGUCGGCGCCCGCCGGAGGAUAACCAAACUCUGAUGUAACGACGUUUCUUCUGAGUGGUACAAGCAAAUAAUCAAAACUUUUAACAACGGAUCUCUUGGUUCUGGCAUCGAUGAAGAACGCAGCGAAAUGCGAUAAGUAAUGUGAAUUGCAGAAUUCAGUGAAUCAUCGAAUCUUUGAACGCACAUUGCGCCCGCCAGCAUUCUGGCGGGCAUGCCUGUUCGAGCGUCAUUUCAACCCUCAAGCUCUGCUUGGUGUUGGGGCCCUACAGCUGAUGUAGGCCCUCAAAGGUAGUGGCGGACCCUCCCGGAGCCUCCUUUGCGUAGUAACUUUACGUCUCGCACUGGGAUCCGGAGGGACUCUUGCCGUAAAACCCCCAAUUCUCCAAAGGUUGACCUCGGAUCAGGUAGGAAUACCCGCUGAACUUAAGCAUAUCAUAG
This 553-nucleotide ribosomal RNA is filed under the name Colletotrichum asianum. Its description in RNAcentral is "eukaryotic LSU rRNA". The stretch from base 191 to 344 matches the Rfam family "5.8S ribosomal RNA". Lineage: Eukaryota; Fungi; Ascomycota; Sordariomycetes; Glomerellales; Glomerellaceae. The record is from RNAcentral.